AUUGAACGCUGGCGGCAGGCUUAACACAUGCAAGUCGAGCGGAGACUUCGGUCUUAGCGGCGAACGGGUGAGUAAUACCUAGGAAUCUGCCUAUUAGUGGGGGAUAACGAAUCGAAAGGUUCGCUAAUACCGCAUACGUCCUACGGGAGAAAGGGGGGAGUCUUCGGACCGUCUCGCUAAUAGAUGAGCCUAGGCCGGAUUAGCUAGUUGGUAGGGUAAAGGCUUACCAAGGCGACGAUCUGUAGCUGGUCUGAGAGGAUGGCCAGCCACACUGGAACUGAGACACGGCCCGAGACUCCUACGGGAGGCA
This 310-nucleotide ribosomal RNA is filed under the name uncultured bacterium. Its description in RNAcentral is "bacterial SSU rRNA". It matches the Rfam family "Bacterial small subunit ribosomal RNA", at positions 30 to 350 of the family's 1533-position model. The record is from RNAcentral.